RNAcentral lists this small RNA (131 nucleotides) under Klebsiella pneumoniae. Its description in RNAcentral is "RtT sRNA". It matches the Rfam family "RtT RNA". Rfam says of the family: This family represents a bacterial cis-regulatory element known as RtT RNA. The exact function of RtT is unknown although it is thought that it may be involved in changing the cellular response in relation to amino acid starvation. Lineage: Bacteria; Pseudomonadati; Pseudomonadota; Gammaproteobacteria; Enterobacterales; Enterobacteriaceae. The record is from RNAcentral. RNAcentral also lists the same sequence under 1 other name.
UAUUCUGCCCUACAGGGAAGGAUGAGAAGCUUCGACCAAGGUUCGACUCGAGCGAAGCGAGAGAACGUUGCCGCAGGCAAUGGCCCGAAGGCGAGGCGCUUUAGCGCCGAGUAAUCCUUCCCCCACCACUG